RNAcentral lists this ribosomal RNA (440 nucleotides) under uncultured bacterium. Its description in RNAcentral is "bacterial SSU rRNA". It matches the Rfam family "Bacterial small subunit ribosomal RNA", at positions 338 to 775 of the family's 1533-position model. The record is from RNAcentral.
CCUACGGGAGGCAGCAGUGAGGAAUAUUGGACAAUGGGCGAAAGCCUGAUCCAGCCAUGCCGCGUGCAGGAAGACUGCCCUAUGGGUUGUAAACUGCUUUUAUACGGGAAGAAACCCAUCUACGUGUAGAUGGCUGACGGUACCGUAAGAAUAAGCAUCGGCUAACUCCGUGCCAGCAGCCGCGGUAAUACGGAGGAUGCAAGCGUUAUCCGGAAUCAUUGGGUUUAAAGGGUCCGUAGGUGGAUUGGUAAGUCAGAGGUGAAAGCCUGCAGCUCAACUGUAGAACUGCCUUUGAUACUGCUAGUCUUGAAUUAUUGUGAAGUGGUUAGAAUAUGUAGUGUAGCGGUGAAAUGCAUAGAUAUUACAUAGAAUACCAAUUGCGAAGGCAGAUCACUAACAAUAUAUUGACACUGAUGGACGAAAGCGUGGGGAGCGAACGG